RNAcentral lists this long non-coding RNA (543 nucleotides) under Homo sapiens (human). RNAcentral's name for it is "HSALNT0354677". Lineage: Eukaryota; Metazoa; Chordata; Mammalia; Primates; Hominidae. The record is from RNAcentral.
ACAACACAUCCAGCCUCAGACUCAGAAAAGAUGGAAGGUCAUAUAUAAAUUUUUUUAAAUGAGUGAAAAAGAGAGAAGAGGUGAAUAAAUGUGAGAACCAGGGAAAGCGAAUAAAAAGGAUACAAGGAAAGAUGAAGGGGAGAAUAAGGAGAAAUGGGAGGUCCCUGGACUUUGGGACUCAUUCUGCUCGACUUGAUCCCUGCUCUGCCCAUUGAUCACAUACACACGUUUACACCUGGCAGAAGAGGAAGAGGAGGCAUGAAGGAAUGGCCUCUUCAGAAUGGAGAAAAGCCUUCCCCAUGAGAACAUGCCUAAGACAGACUGCUGAAGAAGGCGGCAAAUGGAACAGCGCUGAAUCAGCCUGGUCAUCCCAGUCAAGCCUCCAGACAUGUAAGCACCCUCCUCUGAUCUGCAGAGCUGCCUGGCCCAAAUACUGUUGACCACUCUUGAGUAAGCCCCACCAAGAUCAGCUGAGAACAGUAGAACUGACCAGAUGACUCUAACCUCAUGAAUAAAUCCAAGUGUUUUUUUAUUUGCCUCUGA